Molecule: ribosomal RNA, 368 nt
Filed under: uncultured organism
Description: bacterial SSU rRNA
Rfam family: Bacterial small subunit ribosomal RNA
Source: RNAcentral
CGUAGGACGCAAGCGUUAUCCGGAGUUACUGGGCGUAAAGCGCGGGCAGGCGGCUCGAUGCGUCUGAUGUGAAAUCUCCUUGCUUAACAGGGAGAGGCCAUUGGAAACGGUCGAGCUGGAGGGCAGUAGAGGCAGGCGGAAUUCCGGGUGGAGUGGUGAAAUGCGUAGAGAUCCGGAGGAACACCAGAGGCGAAGACGGCCUGCUGGGCUGCACCUGACGCUGAGCCGCGAAAGCCAGGGGAGCGAACGGGAUUAGAAACCCCGGUAGUCCUGGCCGUAAACGAUGUUCACUGGAUGGCGGCGCGAACGCGUCGUUGUCGAAGCUAACGCGAUAAGUGAACCGCCUGGGGAGUACGGUCGCAAGGCUA